This 451-nucleotide ribosomal RNA is filed under the name uncultured organism. Its description in RNAcentral is "partial 16S ribosomal RNA". It matches the Rfam family "Bacterial small subunit ribosomal RNA", at positions 333 to 800 of the family's 1533-position model. The record is from RNAcentral.
ACACUCCUACGGGAGGCAGCAGUGGGGAAUAUUGGACAAUGGGCGCAAGCCUGAUCCAGCCAUGCCGCGUGAGUGAUGAAGGCCCUAGGGUUGUAAAGCUCUUUCACCGGUGAAGAUAAUGACGGUAACCGGAGAAGAAGCCCCGGCUAACUUCGUGCCAGCAGCCGCGGUAAUACGAAGGGGGCUAGCGUUGUUCGGAUUUACUGGGCGUAAAGCGCACGUAGGCGGACUAUUAAGUCAGGGGUGAAAUCCCGGGGCUCAACCCCGGAACUGCCUUUGAUACUGGUAGUCUUGAGUUCGAGAGAGGUGAGUGGAAUUCCGGGUGUAGAGGUGAAAUUCGUAGAUAUUCGGAGUAACACCAGUGGCGAAGGCGGCUCACUGGCUCGAUACUGACGCUGAGGUGCGAAAGCGUGGGGAGCAAACAGGAUUAGAAACCCUGGUAGUCCCAUGA